GCCUGGGUGGCUCAGUCGGUUGAGCGUCUGACUUCGGCUCAGGUCAUGAGCUCACAGUCUGUGAGUUCAAGCCCUGCAUCGGGCU
Molecule: transfer RNA, 85 nt
Organism: Felis catus (domestic cat)
Lineage: Eukaryota; Metazoa; Chordata; Mammalia; Carnivora; Felidae
Rfam family: tRNA
About the family: Transfer RNA (tRNA) molecules are approximately 80 nucleotides in length. Their secondary structure includes four short double-helical elements and three loops (D, anti-codon, and T loops).
Source: Rfam